Long non-coding RNA from Nicotiana attenuata, 998 nucleotides. RefSeq lists it as uncharacterized. Lineage: Eukaryota; Viridiplantae; Streptophyta; Magnoliopsida; Solanales; Solanaceae. The record is from RefSeq and is a predicted model, not a curated record. The transcript has 3 exons.
CACAAAAAACCUAGUCCUCUAUUCAUGUAAAAAUAGCAGAACCCCAAAAAUUCCCCCACCCACGGCUCCUCUCUCACCCCCUUUACUCCUUGUUUUCUUCCUUAAUGGUUUGGUAAAAACAAAAUUGGAACUUCCAUAGCUGAACUCACAUUUCCCAAAUAACCUUUUCCUUUGCAAGAAAGUAGCCAAAUUUAUAUACUCACUAUAACCAUGAAUUGUCACUUUCUUUUCUUGAAAGGUUAAGUGUAUUGGUAGAGUGUUUCUAGCUCCAGAUCUGUAUAGCUCUUUGUCUGAAAAUCCAGCAAUCAGCGAUUCCACCCCUUUUUCUCAAGAGAAAACGAGCAGCUUCACUCUCUCUUUCACAGAAGAAAAUUCGAGCAGUAGCCCUCCCCUUCACCCAAAAAUCGGCCAUUAAUUCCAAAAUCAAAAAGCAGUUGACUCGCCCCUUUAAAAUACCACAGCCGCUGCUCUCUUCAUUCUUCAGUUUCAGAAAUUUAGGUUCAAAAAUGGAGUCAAGCUGAAGUAGGUGUUCGAUUUGGAGUGUCCGUUCGAGAUCGGUUCUCGAUUCCUGUAUUUUCUUCGGGCCUUCAUCUUGUUGAAUCUGUUGCAACAACAUUUCUUUACAUAUUAAAGGAGAAGCACUUAACAGUGCAACUUGUCAUGUUUGGGAUGCUUUCCAACUUGCACAUGCAUCCUUCAGGCUUUACUGUGUCCGAAAGAACCUCGUUGUCCCUGAGAUGAGCCAGACGAUCAGUGGUAAGCUGGGUCCUGACCUGCUGGUGAUCCUCCCAACCAAUAUCCCUCUGCCUGAGACCGGUGCCUGAGACCGGUCCUGAAGAUGAUGAAGAAAGCAACGCCGAUACUCUUCCUGCCAUAAAGAUCUAUGAUGAUGAUGUGAACAUGAGGUUUCUCAUCUAUCGAACGCCAUGCUCACUGGAUGAAUGCUUGUUGGGAUCUAUAACAGAUGGUCUGAAUGCCCUCUUAAUCAUUGAGGCAAG